Molecule: ribosomal RNA, 362 nt
Filed under: uncultured bacterium
Lineage: Bacteria
Description: partial 16S ribosomal RNA
Rfam family: Bacterial small subunit ribosomal RNA
Source: RNAcentral
CCUACGGGAGGCAGCAGUGAGGAAUAUUGGUCAAUGGACGAAAGUCUGAACCAGCCAUGCCGCGUGCAGGAAGACGGCUCUCUGAGUUGAAAACUCCUUUUGUAGGGGGGUAAACGCAGAUACGUGUAUCUGUCUGAAAGUAUCGUACGAAUAAGGAACGGCUAACUCCAUGCCAGCAGCCGCGGUAAUACGGAGGAUUCAAGCGUUAUCCGGAUUUAUUGGGUUUAAAGGGUUCGUAGGCGGUCGGAUAAGUUAGAGGUGAAAUCCCGAGGCUCAACUUCGGAAUUGCAUCUGAUACUGUUCGGCUAGAGAGUAGUAGCGGUAGGCGGAAUGUAUGGUGUAGCGGUGAAAUGCGUAGAGAU